Spea bombifrons (plains spadefoot toad) is the source of this 217-nucleotide long non-coding RNA. RefSeq lists it as uncharacterized. Lineage: Eukaryota; Metazoa; Chordata; Amphibia; Anura; Pelobatidae. The transcript has 2 exons. The record is from RefSeq and is a predicted model, not a curated record.
CUGAUUUAACUUUUUGUACCCUUCGUGACAAUGGCCGUUUUAACAUUUCUGCGCUGCUCGUGUUUAGCUGUAAUUUUCUUCUUUCCCGUUUACUGAACCCACACAAGUUAUAUAUUAUAUUGUUUUUUUCAGGACAAGAAGGGCUUUCUUUAGAUGACAUUGUUUUGAUUGUAUCAUAUUAUUUACUAUUAAAAAAAUUAUAAAAUAUGGUGAAAAA